UGUGCGGAUAUGCAAAUGAGCUCGCUCCGUUGAUAUCGGUCCGAUUACAUCUGAUAUCGGUCCGUUCCCAUCGAAAGUUUUUGCACGAACUCCGCAAAAACUGCUACACCCCUUGAACUGAGCUUCGGUAGUUCGGUUCCUCUGGGGUUGCGAUUGUGUGGAAAGGUCUCGAAUCUUCGUUUGCUCGCUUCCCUCGCUCCGAAUUUGCGACGUGUCUUCUCUCAAUGGGCCUUGCUCAACGAGGCCAUUUUCUUUGCUAACGCUUCGCUCUCUUUGUUUGUCUUUUCAAAGACUUUUUCUAGCGCUUUCCUGGAUGUUUUGAAAACGUCGAUUGUCAUCCAGUCAGUAGUUGUUGAUUGAAAACCUUGACCUUUGAUUCUAAAGCGAAUAUCCCUUUUCAUCCCUAACUUUUUUGAAAGAGAUCGAGUACCUUUUCAAAGGAUUUUUCAAAACAUUUCCUCCCUCCCUUUGAUGGGUAAAAUACUGGCUUUUGCGUUCGCGUUUCUAAAGGUUCUUUCUCUCUCUUUUCUCUUGCUCUCUACAAAAAGUUUCAAAACUUCUUCCUCCAGCAACCCUUCAAUUUGAACGGAGGCUUUUCAAAUUCGUUUUGCUUUCCACAAAGAAGCUACUGUUUGCCGAUAAUUUCGGUGAUUUGGAAUUGGAUAAAUCUACGUGCACUGCUGCUUGGCAUUCCUUUUCGAACUCGAAGCGGUUGUCGACGGUCGUGUUCUGUGCUACAGUGCUACAGCUACAGCUACAGUAGCUACGCACACUGCUGCCCGUUUUUUGGUUUUGCAAUGGCUGCUGGCUGUUCCACUUCUUCACUGGUAUCAGAAUCGAUGGCAUGCGAGUACAAAUAAACGAUCGGAUUCGCUGACUUUUUGGUUCAACAAAUCAAAGAUCGUUUCAAGCAAUAAUUAUGACCCAGACGUGAUUCUUGACUGUGGAGAAAAGGACUAAAGUUAUAUAGAUUAGCUGUUGUCCGUAAAUUGUAUUUUGUUAAUUUGUUGUUGGAGUAAGAAUCAUUUCUGAUGCACGAAACUUUGGCUGUUUUCUAUCUUUCCAUUUCUUAAGUGCUUUGUUGCUGCAGUGUUUCAAAAGCUAAUUGUGACGAAGAUAUGAUAUGUGGACCUCAAAUGUAUAGAACU
Rhopilema esculentum is the source of this 1148-nucleotide non-coding RNA. The record is from RefSeq and is a predicted model, not a curated record. Lineage: Eukaryota; Metazoa; Cnidaria; Scyphozoa; Rhizostomeae; Rhizostomatidae.